UCCCUCAUAGCUCAAUUGGUAAAGAAUAUAUGCCUGCAAUGCAUAAGACCUGGGUUCAAUUCCUAGGUCGGGAA
Molecule: transfer RNA, 74 nt
Filed under: Ovis aries (sheep)
Lineage: Eukaryota; Metazoa; Chordata; Mammalia; Artiodactyla; Bovidae
Rfam family: tRNA
About the family: Transfer RNA (tRNA) molecules are approximately 80 nucleotides in length. Their secondary structure includes four short double-helical elements and three loops (D, anti-codon, and T loops).
Source: Rfam by way of RNAcentral